AGUGAACGCUGGCGGUAGGCCUAACACAUGCAAGUCGAACGGCAGCACAGUAAGAGCUUGCUCUUACGGGUGGCGAGUGGCGGACGGGUGAGGAAUACAUCGGAAUCUACUUUUUCGUGGGGGAUAACGUAGGGAAACUUACGCUAAUACCGCAUACGACCUACGGGUGAAAGCAGGGGAUCUUCGGACCUUGCGGGAUUGAAUGAGCCGAUGUCGGAUUAGCUAGUUGGCGGGGUAAAGGCCCACCAAGGCGACGAUCCGUAGCUGGUGUGAGAGGAUGGUCAGCCACACUGGAACUGAGACACGGUCCAGACUCCUACGGGAGGCAGCAGUGGGGAAUAUUGGACAAUGGGCGCAAGCAUGAUCCAGCCAUACCGCGUGGGUGAAGAAGGCCUUCGGGUUGUAAAGCCCUUUUGUUGGGAAAGAAAAGCAGCAGGUUAAUACCCCGCUGUUCUGACGGUACCCAAAGAAUAAGCACCGGCUAACUUCGUG
Molecule: ribosomal RNA, 492 nt
Filed under: uncultured bacterium
Lineage: Bacteria
Description: partial 16S ribosomal RNA
Rfam family: Bacterial small subunit ribosomal RNA
Source: RNAcentral